ACUAAUUCGUGACAUAAAAUUCAUUCCAAAAAAUUGAUAUUUUCUUUGGGUGGUCGCCAACUUGACGUCAAGUUGGCGACCACCUUAAUAUUUGCUAUAACUUUUUACGUAAUGCAGCACAAAUUCUGAUUUCUACGGCACAAAUUAGCACAAAUUGAGCACUAAUUCGUGACAUAAAAUUCAUUCCAAAAAAUUGAUAUUUUCUUUGGGUGGUCGCCAACUUGACGUCAAGUUGGCGACCACCUUAAUAUUUGCUAUAACUUUUUACGUAAUGCAGCACAAAUUCUGAUUUCUACGGCACAAAUUAGCACAAAUUGAGCACUAAUUCGUGUCAAAUUUUGACCUUGAAAUUCCAAUGUGUGGUCGCCAACUUGACACACGUAGAGGGCGUGCACUGCGCCUGAGGCGCUGAGUCCGCCUGAAGGCCUGGUGCAGCGCCUCAGAGAGCAAGGAGACCGCGUGCACAAGCUCAUUGUUGACGCGUUUGCAAUUGUUGCGUGCUUGGCGAGUGAAGACGUAUCGGAAUGGGUCAGGUGUGCGGUAACGACGAUUAGAGGCAUCUCCAAUGUGCUCAGACUGUUGGCUCGGCCAGACAACACCGCAACACAGUGUAUUGUCACCUCAGCCACUGCAGGCCUCGUGGUCCGUGUGCCAGAUCCGAGCAUCGAACCAAGGCCCUAUGAGGAGUCCCGCUGCCUCUUGUUGUAAGAUAGAGGUUAUGUGUGGAUGUCUAUGGAAAACACGACACUGUAUUACUUCUAAAGUGUUGUUAAGUUGGUAGGUAUGUUUGGCGGUGGCGCGGUACUUGCACCAAUGAGGGAGCCUGAAGCGAGGUUCCUGCAGGCGAGGCAUUCAAGUAUCGCGCUGUGAGCUGUCGUGGACAACUUGGUAGACACCUCAGCAGUACUUCCAGCGCAGCACCAAGCUGAGUGACGUG
Bacillus rossius redtenbacheri is the source of this 937-nucleotide long non-coding RNA. RefSeq lists it as uncharacterized. The record is from RefSeq and is a predicted model, not a curated record. The transcript has 3 exons. NCBI's taxonomy places the organism in Eukaryota, Metazoa, Arthropoda, Insecta, Phasmatodea, Bacillidae.